GAUGAAGAACGUAGCGAAAUGCGAUAAGUAAUGUGAAUUGCAGAAUUCAGUGAAUCAUCGAAUCUUUGAACGCACAUUGCGCCCUUUGGCAUUCCGAAGGGCACACCUGUCCGAGCGCCGUCGCACAACUGAGGCGUAGCCUUGCGUUGGCGGGCGACUUGUGAGUAGCGAGUCGCCGCCCAAACGAGACGGCGCCGCGCCGCGGCCGACGAAGCACGAAAGCGGAAGUCGACGCGGAGGCGGUUGCCUGUAGGAAGACACAGCUUGGCCUCGGAUCAGGUGGGGAUACCCGCUGAACUUAAGCAUAUCAAUAAGCGGAGGA
This 322-nucleotide unclassified non-coding RNA is filed under the name soil metagenome. Its description in RNAcentral is "partial contains 5.8S ribosomal RNA, internal transcribed spacer 2, and large subunit ribosomal RNA". The stretch from base 1 to 120 matches the Rfam family "5.8S ribosomal RNA", at positions 35 to 154 of the family's 154-position model. The record is from RNAcentral.